RNAcentral lists this ribosomal RNA (565 nucleotides) under uncultured Amanitaceae. RNAcentral describes it as "eukaryotic LSU rRNA". The stretch from base 196 to 349 matches the Rfam family "5.8S ribosomal RNA". The record is from RNAcentral. Lineage: Eukaryota; Fungi; Basidiomycota; Agaricomycetes; Agaricales; Amanitaceae.
UUAGUGAAUGAACUUCUGGCUGGAUGCUGUUGUGCUGGCCCUUUGGGGCAAUGUGCACACCUCUGGUUGUUUGUUUCUUCUGUUCCACCUGUGCACUGCCUGUAGACACUCUGUGUCUAUGAUAUUGGUUACACACACACAUGAUGUUAUGUUAUGUUGGUUGGCAUAUUACAAUAUAUGUAUAUGAUGUUAUACAACUUUCAACAACGGAUCUCUUGGCUCUCGCAUCGAUGAAGAACACAGCGAAAUGUGAUAAGUAAUGUGAAUUGCAGAAUCCAGUGAAUCAUCGAAUCUUUGAACGCAUCUUGCGCUCCUUGGCAUUCCGAGGAGCAUGCCUGUUUGAGUGUCAUUAAACUAUCAAAACACACACACCUUUCUUGGUUGGGUGUUUUGGACUUUGGGAGCAUUUUGCUGGUCUGUCUGAGCCAGCUCUCCUUAAAAGCAUUAGCUUUGGAGACCAUCAGUGUGAUAACUUUGUUUACACUGACUGAGUGUGUCUCUGCUUCUUGAAUGUCCCCUUUGACCUCAAAUCANGUAGGACUACCCGCUGAACUUAAGCAUAUCA